GUGGGUGUAGCUCAGGGGUAGAGCACAUGCUUUGCAUGCACGAGACCCUGGGUUCAAUCCCCAGUACCUCCA
RNAcentral lists this transfer RNA (72 nucleotides) under Camelus ferus (Wild Bactrian camel). It matches the Rfam family "tRNA". From Rfam's summary of the family: Transfer RNA (tRNA) molecules are approximately 80 nucleotides in length. Their secondary structure includes four short double-helical elements and three loops (D, anti-codon, and T loops). The record is from Rfam by way of RNAcentral. Lineage: Eukaryota; Metazoa; Chordata; Mammalia; Artiodactyla; Camelidae.